CCUCGUACUUUGGGAUAACUUCAGGAAACUGGGGCUAAUACCGGAUAGGAGCUCCUGCUGCAUGGUGGGGGUUGGAAAGUUUCGGCGGUUGGGGAUGGACUCGCGGCUUAUCAGCUUGUUGGUGGGGUAGUGGCUUACCAAGGCUUUGACGGGUAGCCGGCCUGAGAGGGUGACCGGCCACAUUGGGACUGAGAUACGGCCCAG
RNAcentral lists this ribosomal RNA (204 nucleotides) under uncultured Actinomycetales bacterium. RNAcentral describes it as "partial 16S ribosomal RNA". It matches the Rfam family "Bacterial small subunit ribosomal RNA", at positions 129 to 334 of the family's 1533-position model. The record is from RNAcentral. Lineage: Bacteria; Bacillati; Actinomycetota; Actinomycetes; Actinomycetales.